This is a non-coding RNA of Thamnophis sirtalis, 573 nucleotides long. The record is from RefSeq and is a predicted model, not a curated record. NCBI's taxonomy places the organism in Eukaryota, Metazoa, Chordata, Lepidosauria, Squamata, Natricidae.
CAAGCUACAACAACAGCAUGAGAAUUUAAACCCCAGAGGGACAAAGGUUCCCUGUCACCAGGUCAUUUUUAUAAGGCCAUUUUUCAGGUCCAUCCUGAAAUGAUUUGCAAAGUCUUUAACAGAAGCACUUAGUUCCUCUGGGAUUAAACCCAACUACAUAUAAGUAAAUUGAUUAUAUUUUCCUGUAUAUUUAUCUCCCUAACUUUUUUCUCUUUGCUAUAUGGAGUUUUAAUCUUCGGAUUUUAGAUUAUAAGCUAUAUUAAUUUUUUCUUUUCUUUUUUUUGUAUUUUUGUAUUUACAGCACAUUGCAUUUUACAAAAUAAUUUAUUUCUUUUCUGUAGGCUCCACCACUCGUGGAAGAGCCUUCUGUUUCCAAAGAAGUUGAUAGAUGGCAUUUUCUUGGACAGUGAACAUUACUGUUGUCUGAAAUCAUGCUACAAGUUUGACCAGUAUACCACCUGGCACAUGCGUGCACACACUUCGCUGAAGAAAUGGAAAUGAAGCCACCAAUGACUGGAAUCUAUUGCACUGUAGAUUUUCUGUCCUGUAAAUAAAAUGGAUUUUUACAAUUUU